CGCCUGCCAUUGACAAACAAAUUGGAGCUUUACUUUUAAUUGUCAAAGGUCAUUGUUUUUUUCAUUUAUUAGUCCAACGGUAGCUUAGUUUGUUCUUCCGAAAAUCUCGUACAAAUUCAGUUCUACUUCAAGUAUUAUUACUCCCUGUUUUGAUGCUUUCUUAUCACUUAUCUCAGGUAUGUUAUGAUCCCUUACAAUGAUUGCUUAUGUUAUAUUUGCUUCAUUAACUCAAAACAUGGUUUUAGUAUGACACUGCCUUCAAGUGAAUAUGUGAAAUCUCAUAGGCAUGGCUAUCAAAUGUUUGAUGAAAUGUCUGUCUGAAACUUGGGAUAAUUGGUUCUUAGGUUGAUUGCAAAUGCAACAAUAAAUCUAGAUGGUGUUUUUUGGAUCUCUUGAGAAGGUUCUUUAAACAAAAGAAUUGCUUCAUUUGUGUUUCUAUUGAUAUCUAAAACUAAUAAAUUAGCUUUAUUUUGAAUCAAAUGUUGGCCAUUUGAUGGAUUUUAGAGUAAUCUAAGUGGUUCAACAUUGUCACUCAACUUGCUGUCCAGAUUCUUCCUCUUCUCUGCAUUGAAUUCACUGGUAAGUUUCAAAACUUAUGUUAACUUAAAGGUCUUUUCCAAAUUUUUCCUAUUUUUUGAAAACUGAGUGUAGCGUAACAUGAUUGUUUUUUGCUUCUUUUUUGGUGGCUUGAUAAUAUCAAACUCUUAAGAAAAAGUUCCGAGCUCAUUCAGGACCGCCAGCUCCCCAGGGCACUCCUUUUUUAUAUCUGAGAAGCACCCUCCGAUGUAGCAUUUUGGUGCUGUAGGAUAUGGGGUCACUGAAACAGGGAGGUUGUAGCCAUCCACUAUACUUACGUCGUAGAAACUCGGCUGCCUCUUGUCAACCUGCAACGUAAACUCUAC
Molecule: long non-coding RNA, 902 nt
Filed under: Coffea arabica (coffee)
Lineage: Eukaryota; Viridiplantae; Streptophyta; Magnoliopsida; Gentianales; Rubiaceae
Description: long non-coding RNA (CARA_LNC002633)
Source: RNAcentral